CUCCAGCUCCCAGCCGUGUGUCUGGCUGCCCGGGGCCGCCCCCGCUGUGCCGCCGGGAGAGGAGGUGGAGGAGGAGGCGGCUGCAGCUCCGUGCCCGCCCGUCCCCACCCGCCGGCCGCAGCCGCGCGGGCCGCCCCGGGCAGCGAUCGCUCCAUGAGGUUCGGCUGCUGCCGGCUGCCCGCGGGGCGGGGGGGCGGUGGGUCUGGAGGCCCCUCCGGAUGAUGCCGCCCGGCGCCGUGUCGGCGCGGCCCCCCGGCGGGGCGCGCUCGCUGAGCCCCGCGGCGCUGACUCGCAGCCUGUCCCGCCUGCGCGAGCACCGCGCCCGCUCUCGGGCCAUGCUGGCGCUGGGGGUCACGCAGAUGCUGCUGGGCUGCCUCAUCGUGGCCGUCAGCUUCGCCGCUCUGGCGCUCACCACCUCGGCACGAGUCCGACACUCGUGUCCCUUCUGGGCCGGCUUCUCGGUGCUGCUGUCAGGACUGAUUGGUGUUGUUUCGUGGAAGAGACCUCUUUCACUUGUGAUAACCUUUUUCAUGCUGCUCUCUGCAGUGUGUGUAAUGCUGAAUUUAGCUGGCUCCAUUCUUUCUUGUCAGAAUGCUCAGCUAGUAAAAUCCCUGGAAGGAUGUCAGUUGAUUAAAUUUGACAGUGAUGGUGUCUGCGUUUGCUGUGAAAUGCAGCAUCAAACGUCAGGUUGCAGUAACCUUGGAGAAAUGCUGAAACUGAACCCUCUGCAGGAAUGUAAUGUUGUGAGGUUGACCCUAAAGGACCUGUUGUUCAGCGUGUGUGCUCUCAAUGUCAUCUCCACCAUUGUCUGUGCUUUGGCAACAGCGAUGUGUUGCAUGCAGAUGGUUUCUUCUGAUCUUCUGCAAAUGUUUCUGCCACAGCGGCCACAUUCUGCCAAUGCAGACUGCAUGACUCCACAUGGGACUGUUCUGCAUCAAACUUUGGACUUCGAUGAAUUCAUCCCACCAAUACCACCUCCACCCUACUACCCACCAGAAUAUACCUGCACACCUGUGGUAGAGGCACAGAGCAGAAGUCUCCAUUUGGAAUUUCCUCAUUCCCCAUUCAGUGCUUUGUAUGAAGUCACCAUUAACAGCCCGGGAAUGCUAUAUCCAACUGAGCUGCCACCUCCUUACGAGGCAGUGAUUGGAGAAACACCUGCCAGCCAGGUCACUGGUACUGAUCAGCAAGUAUCUGAAUCAAGCAUGGGUGAGAGGAAUGCGACCCUGGGCUUCAGCACACAAGUUUCUGUUGAGAGCACCUCAUUGAUGACCUCUGAAACUGCUGAAAUCCCAGACCAUAGCUGCUCCUCAGAAGAUCUUUGUUCGCUGGAAGUUCAAGGAUCUCUCCGUUCUUCAGAUUUUUCUCCCUCCUGUACAAACUGCAAAGGGGCCACAGGCCGGAGCUGCAGCAGUCUGGACUACAGCACCCGCUGCAGGUUCCACAGAACUCGCUCAGAAGGUUUCCCUGAUGAGGAUGUCAGUUUGCACAGCAGAGUCUCUAUGGACAAGUCUCAAGGACAGGAAAAUGAAAACUGUGCCCACGGCAGAUCCUCAGACUGUUCCUCAGAGAAUUUCAGUCCCUCAGAAAGAGAACUGCGGAAUUCUGCGCAAGAAAGCAGUGUCUCAUUACAUUUGAAACAAAUGAAAAUGUGCUGCGGGGUCUUUAGCCAGCCCUCUGUCCCUGCCCACACUGCUCCCUGUUUUGGGCCUGCAGAUACUUCAUCGUAUGUGAGCAGUUCUGAGAGUUCCCAGCAGCAUCAUGUUACAAAACACCAAAUUUCAAACAUUGUCCGCUCAACUAGUGAUCCUGUAUCGUGUUCGUCUUAUAUAGAAGGUGAUCAUUGUGCCUGGAGUCCUAUAUGUAGACAGCAUCAAGAUGCAGGAUCUUCAGCCACAUUAGAAACAGAAGUACGUCAUGUAGUGAACAGUAUACGAUCAGUAAUAAAAUCUGAUGAAAGACACAUGGAAGAAGCCAUCUUCAGUGCCAAUAUUAUAGACCAGGUCAUUACAAGUUCCCGGCUGAGUGUGAAUACCUCUAGAAAGCGACUUCAGGAAGACCUUCAUCUGCAGAGUUGUGGUGCUCUGAGCUCUCCAGUUGCCUUCUUACGCAGGUCCCCUGUCACUCACAGUGUAGAACGGGACAGGCCUCACAGUUUAAUUGGAGUUUGCCAGGAGACCAUCCUUUGAUAACAUUCACAGGUAUGUGAUUCCAGCAGAGAGAAUUAAGGAAGAAACCAGGACUGGGAGAAAUGCAAGUAGUGGAUGGCUUAAAAAGGAAAAAGUGUCUUCCUUUGGAGUUCUGCUUUUUUUCCAGCAGCAGGAAGAGAUCACCUGUUAUUCUGAAUGUAAAUUUCAGCCCUGCAUUUUGAAAAAAAAUAACUGAUUUAUUAGUAAACUCAUAACAAAUGUUUUCCCGACCAGAAAUGCAUAUAUUUCACUGUACUUACAGAAAUGCUGCUGAUGCUGUCUAGCAUUUCUUCAAAACCAUUGCAAAAACCACCACAGACUGGCUGUACAACUUAGAAGUUGUAUUUAUUUAAUGUACCUCAAGGUGUUUUAACUAUGAUCAGUGUUUUAAUAAAAAGUAUUUCUGGACUUUGCUUUUUCAACAACUGACUUGAGUAGAACUGUAAUGUCGAUUGGUGUGCUCACUGAGUGCUGCUUCUAAUUCAUUUUUCCAAUGUCUUUCACGCCAGGCUAACUGACCUGCUGUAUUACUCUUUUCCUCUGAGCCCCUGCAAUGUGUUGCCCCUUUAAAUACUACUGAAGGCUCUGGCGUGGUUUAUUUUUACUUGGUUCUCAAUGGUCAUGAGGUUAUUAGUGGAGUAGUGUGUGCUCCUGAAAACUGACAUUGCAAGUACUCUGUGAAUUGUGGCCGAAAGGUGCAUUAGGGAAGAAGUUGCUGAAAUUGUGCAUUUCCAGUAAGGUUUUCUAAGCUUGUAAACAUCAGGUGAUAGGAAAUGAGAUGGAUUUUUAUCUAGCAGAGCUGUGAACGUUUGCUAAAAGAAUUGUUAUUCCAAUUACAAGUAUGAGCAGUUGUGUUACUAAAACAUUUCCUUGUGGCUCUGCUGCAUUUUUAUUAAAAUUAUCUUAGGAAAAAAGGUAAGUAUUGUUGGCACUAAUAUGAUUACCAGCAUAAACAGAGCUUUGCCAGCAAUAUCUUCCAGUGCAAGCUUCAUCCUAGCUCUCUCAGAGGAAAAUGGAAAGGCCUUAAACAAAAGGUUCUCAUAAAGAACCUACCAUGGGUUUUGAUGUUUCAGGGCUUUAAUUUUUUUACAGUAGUGCUUGUCAGUAGCAUUACAGUUUCCAUUUGAGGUUUAAUCAUAUACUGCUUUCAUUUGUGUCAUUCCGAGCUGGGCAGACGUCCUGUGAAAAGGUCACAAAGGAACAUAGCUGGAGAUGGGUGGUUUAAUUUUUAUGGAAUAAUCCAUUUGAGAGUGCACCGUGCUUCUGUGUUGAUGUGAACUUACAGUGACAUCCAGUGGCAACAAGGAAAAGAAGGUACCUACAAGUUUUGGCAGAGGAGUUAGUGGAAGAUCUGGCCAGGGCUGAGUGUGAUCCUACUCUAAAUUCGGUAGAUUUUGGUAAACUUGGAUCUUGUUCAUCCACUGAUGAUUUCUCUAAAAGUACUGCAGAGAGAUGUCUUAUUCCCAAGGCUGGAAAAGGGCAUUCUGCCCUCCUGAGCCACCGCUUUUCUCCAUGUUUUAUAGUGCUGCUGACUAGAGAGAGCUUAGGACAAAGAAGGCAAAUCAGGCCACUGUUUUACCACAUCAUCCACAGGUACCAGUAAAGAAAUAUGCAGAUUUUUAAUUUUAUGCCUCCUAUAACAGGAAAUAAUUCUGUAAGAAUUAUAUUUAUCAGAUGCAAUCUUAAGAGUCACUGGUAUUUGAAAUGAUUCUGAGGUUUCAAAAUGCUUUGUGUAUAAGUAGAAGGAAUACAGCUCAAUGAAGCAUGGUGAUCUUUAUUAAAAACCUGUCUUAACGGCAACCGACAUCUGUGCUAUGAUGGGGCCUUCCUGUCAGUCUAGGAAGAUGUGUAUUGGAUGGAAAUUCCUGCUAAAUUGUUUCAGAAGACCUAAGUUCACACAGCAUGUAAGGCAGGUGAGGUAUAGUUUGAAUCACUGAAAGUGAGCAGAGCUUACUGUGCUGAGAUGCACCCACUGCUUACUGAGAGAAACCUGUUCUUGGAGGAAAAGUGCUGCAGGAAUAGCACCCUGUGAUGGCUGCUUCUGCAGUUACUGUCAGUGGCUGUAAUCAUAUGCCAAGAAUUAUUUGUUGAGAUCUGAUAGUUUGCUCUGAGCUAAAUGUAAGUAUGAUAAGAUGUGGCUUGUGUCUCAGCGAGUUUAUAAUUUAAUUCAGAAACAAAUAUAGUGCGUGGGAAGAUGGACAAGCUAGCAUAAAAUUAGAGUGGAACAUGUGGUUGAGCAGUAUCUUUUCUGUAUGACCCGUGCUUUUCUUUGAAAUCCUCUUUGCAAAUGUAAGUGCUAAGAGAAAUGAAAUCCUUGCUCAAAUUCAGGGUGUCUGAUAUGAGGAGGGAAAAUAUGCAGAUCUUAAUUUAUUAUAGAACAAACAAAGAAAACCCACCUUCUUUAACAUUAUGGAAAAGUUUAUCCUACAGCGAUACUUGUCUUGCAGCAGCCACUCUAUGAGUGCCUGAGCUUUGCCCACUGUGGCUCCUAAAUUGCUUCUGAUGGACUCUAAUGGUUAGAGGCACCAUCAAGACCUUUCACAAAACUGCCAUCUUGAAUUUCAGUGCAUUGUGCAGGCUGCCUACCUUCUAAUCAUAGCCCUAACAAGAUAGGCUGUAUUACACAGAUCUUCACCCAACUUAAUACAAAGCUUCUCAUUUAACUCAGUGUUCAGUUUAGUUCAGUGCUGCUGGGGAUUGUAUGGAGUCAUGUGGCAGGACAAGAGCAGAAUGUGCCAAUGGAAACCCUAUACACACAUUUCAUAAAAUAAAAUAUACAGACCAUACAACCUUCUGAAAUAAAAGCCUUCAGAGCAAAUGGAAAUGCUGCCUCUAACCCUACUGGCAUAAAGUAAAAGGUAAUGGAUUGUGUAUCUACCCAGAGCAUUUUUUUUCUUCUGGGGCACACAAAGCUCUUUUAGUAGCAGUGAAUUUCUAGCAGCCUCAGACAUAGGAAGUGGUCUCUUAUCCUAAUUCAAGAACAUGAUCCCUCUCCAGGGAGAGGAUUCAGCUUCCUUUUUGUAAGCAUUAGAUAUUUUAAUGAGGUAGAAAAAGGAACAGACACAGAUCUCAAGUGGCUCUGACUGGCUUCACAGAUCGUGUUGCGCUAGAGGCAGAGUGCAGAUGUAAGGAAAUGUGCUGCACUUCUAGCACAGAUUUAUGUGGCUCCUGUAUUUGUGAGUGACUGACUGAAAACAGCCUAAGACUUCAGUCUCCAGCCCACGUAUGUGAGACAUAUUUGGCUGGCAAGCUUAAGGUGAGCAGAUCCUUAAGUAAAUGAGAUUCUACUCAGCCAGGACUGUUUACCUUAAUAUCAUAGUUGUGAAAUAUGGCAACUAUUAUUAAAUAAAGCAUAACUGAGCCUGUGCUCUAUUUUUUGUGUAAACAGAGAAAAAAUAGAAGCAAACCAUAUUAGAUGAACCUCCUCAGCUGUUAGGUAUUCUGUGGUGUCCUAGGCAAGUUGCAGUGAAUCAUUAUGAAACUCCAAUCCCAUCAGUUUUACUGUAACUGCCCAUUGUGUAUCAAAAUAUUGACUGCAGUACAGUGCAAGACAAAUUAACUGUUUUGUCUGAGCAAAUACCUAAAUACAACCUAUCAAACCAGGUUUCUCCUCAUGUCAUACCUGUACUUCUCUGUCUAAGCACUAUAUAUUUUUUCCUUUAAAGUUUACACAAAUACAAACAAAGGCAAGAAACCAAGAAUGACACUCAGUUCAGUUAACUUUUACCUAUUUAUACUGUAUUUUUAGAUAGAAUGCUGCUGGACUGGCGAUGGGCUGAUAGACUUCUCGGAGGAAGUGAGUGAGCAGCCCAGAGUUUGCUGAGAAGUGGUAGAUUAUUAGUGGUUGAACUACAGCUGGUGGCUCUAUCUCUCCUAAUGCAGGAAACAAGAAAAUGAUGCGAGAGACGACUUGUGUUUGUAUACAGAUUUUACAAGAAAUAUGGCAUAGUAAUUUUCAAAUGAAGGCUGAUAGGUUGCUUUAUGUUCAGUUCUCCAUCACACAACAUUUCUGCCAAUUGUUCCAUGUAUAUGCAUGAUAUUUUAGUUUUUUUCUUAAUGUUUUGAAGUUCAAAUUUCAGUUUUCUAAGUGUUCCGUAGAAGCUUUUGAGAGCCACGUAGAAUAUCUGCAAUUAUUAGUGCAAGAACAGUUUUGCAAAUGUAACACUCUGGAUUUGUGCAGUUGUGAUGUUCCCUAACUAAAACUUCCAAAAGCUGGCUCUUCUGCUGCUCCCUGAGGCACAGCUUCAGCCUUACAUGAAAUAGGCUGUACAGAAUACACAAACAGAAGCAGUCACCUGCAGCAAUGCAGUCUCUGCUGCUCCCUGAUAUCCUAUAAAAACAAAUCCCAGCUCAAAUAGCAAUGCUGUAUGUUCAGGUUGUUUUGGGGCUAUUCACAAAGACUAUAGCUGCACAUUCAGCACAGAUGAGAUAGGCAGGUUGAAAAGGAAUCACCACAAAACUGUUAUCAGCAGAGGAACAGAAGUACCAGAUGCAUGCAUAAUGAGGUGAUUGCACAGCAGUAGGAGAGAUUUAAUUAUACCUGAUCCACCAAGCUGUUUGUUUCUUCACUGUGCAAAUGCUAAGCCAAACAGAAGAUUAGCAUGUUGUUUCCCAUCACGUUUUAUAACAAUUGUUACCAUUUAGAAGAAUUUCUUCUUGAAAGUUAAGUGAUAAACUACCAGGAAAAUAUACUUUGCAGAGUCACAUUUUCAAAUGUUAGUUGAAAUAAGGGAAAUCUUUAUCUGAGCAAGGAAUUACAGGACCAUAAACUAGUCUACGUAGUAGCUUAACAAAAGAUAUUAAACUCUUCUUUUUGUUCAUUGGCUUUUAGAUCCAAAACCAGAAGCUUCACAAAUGGAAUAUAUAUUACAAGCCCUUCUUCUUUGUUUUCUAUGAAAGGUUUUUAUGCUGAAUUUGGUAAACUUUCUGUUGAAUGUCCUCUAAAUGCUACUAAUGUAAAAACAAUGAUUCGUGACCAUCCACAGAGGUGAAUACAACAAAGGUCCAGUAGAUGGGAGAGAGUGCACUAUGAAAGGGAACAACCAAGGUGUGAAGGACAGAGGCUCCAGGUAUAAAGGAGAUGAUCCGAUGGGACAGUUUGAUGACUGGAUUGUCUCUCAGAUUCUGUCAGCACCCUGCGAGGAUGUACAUUUCUUUUAAUCUGCCUUUCCUGCAGCCCUGGCCCACCCCUGACAGUACUGUGACAGGCCACCUGAAAGAGGUGAUUAACGCACUGUAGUAUUGCUCAUUGUUCCUUAAUUGUAUUUUCUCUUUUUAUCAUUGCACCAGCUGUACAUACUGGGCUUCUUGAGGAUGGCAAUUAGGAAAUAAAUCUCUGCCUCACACAAUGAGCCGCUCUCUGCAUCCUCUGUGAAAUCUUGGAAAAUCAGAUCCCGUCCCAUUAAUCACUUUAUUCAAACACUUGGGAAAUGCUAAUGCUGAGUACGCUGCCAGUAGUGACCAGACCCACUGAACAGAUAUGUAUGUAGGUGAAAUGGUUUUAAAGUUGUGCAAAGGAGGACAGAAAUACUAUGAAUGAUCUUUCUGUAUUUUUGUUUUUACAGACUUCUGUCUACGCUUGUAUCAGAGCAUUAAUCCCAAACGUAAUUUAAUGCUUUAAACCUGUGCUUCUAAAGAAUAUCAGCCUGGGGGGAGGUAUCCCAUCACAGUACUUCCAGCUGGAGAAAGCCUUGUAGUAACAUUAUUCACACCAGCCUGCUGUGACCAUGCAACGAUAUUUGAUCUUAGGUAGGAACAUGUAAAACUUCAGUACAAUAAUUUCUCAGCAAUAGCUGAGAAUCCACCAAUGAGCCACCUGCUUCCCAAAGGAUAGGAAUAGUAUCUUUUAAAACCACCUGCUACUCUUUUCAAUGGUGACAUACAAAUCUGGCAAAUUCAGUCCAUGAGUUUCACAGAACAGGAACCACAGCCCACAGUUGCUUUUUAAUGCGCUUUUCUGUGUGGAUGGCCUGAUUUUUUUUAUUUUUAUAGACUGGAAGAAGAGGAAAAUGUGAUGGUCCUGCAUUGCAGGCAGUCCUUAAUGCUGUAUCAGUCCUCAAAAGCACUGGGUGGCUACCUGAGCUAGCAGUGCCCUGGAAGUUUGCUUUGUACCAGAAAAUGGCUAUGAGAAAACCCUGAGCUGCACCAGGUGCGUGUUACUUGUCACACUUGUUCUCCUGUUUCCUGUUGUUACAGAGAAACUGCUGCAUGCAGAGAAGGGAAAGGGAUACCUGGGCCACAAUGCCCUUUUUUCUUUUUCAAACUUGUAGUGAGAGAGGCUUAGCUUUAAUCAGAGGCAGUCACAGUUACAUUCCUGUGUCUGCUUUUCAGGAAGCAGUCCUCUACCAUUUAAUCCAAAUAUAUUCUACACAGUAGAAAAAA
Molecule: non-coding RNA, 8570 nt
Organism: Coturnix japonica (Japanese quail)
Lineage: Eukaryota; Metazoa; Chordata; Aves; Galliformes; Phasianidae
Source: RefSeq, a predicted model, not a curated record